GACUGAAAAUCUUUGUGUCGGUGGUUCAAAUCCACCUCCAGACA
RNAcentral lists this transfer RNA (44 nucleotides) under Phytophthora infestans (potato late blight agent). Its description in RNAcentral is "partial tRNA-Phe". The record is from RNAcentral. RNAcentral also lists the same sequence under 5 other names. Lineage: Eukaryota; Oomycota; Peronosporomycetes; Peronosporales; Peronosporaceae.